GCCCCCCUUGGUCGGCAGAUUUGUGCCCUUUGCAGCAGUGGCAGCUGCCAACUGCAUCAACAUCCCCCUGAUGAGGCAGAGAGAGCUGCAGGUGGGCAUCCCGGUGGCUGAUGAGGCAGGUCAGAGGCUUGGCUACUCGGUGACUGCAGCCAAGCAGGGAAUCUUCCAGGUGGUGAUUUCAAGAAUCUGCAUGGCGAUUCCUGCCAUGGCCAUCCCACCACUGAUCAUGGACACUCUGGAGAAGAAAGACUUCCUGAAGCCUCGCCUGAUUCUCUAAGACUUGCCAGCCCUUCUCCUGACCCCUGCACCGCCUCCUCCACCUUCGUUCAUUCAGCAAGAAUGAACUGGGCUGGGGUGAAGGAACUCUGCAGGGGCAGGAGGAGAGGACAAAGGAAGGAAACCAACUUCAUCAGUGUUACUCCAGUGGCUUCUGACACACAGAAGGGGACUGUCAUAGUCAUGCUUGAUCUCAUGCUCAUUCUUUUACCCCCUAGUGCCUCCAUACUGAGAGGUACACACGGGUGAACACGCACACACAGACAUGAACAGGACACGAAAGCAAAGCACAGGAACAAGCUCUGGCUCAUUCACAGAAUCAUUUAUUCACAAAUGUAUUGAGUGCCAUGCACCAGGCAUGUUUUAGGGCUGAGGAGAUGGCACUGAACACAAUGGUUAUGGCCCCUGUCCUCAUGAAGUUUAUAGUCUGAUGCAGAAACCAAUAAACAAGGAGGCACCCAAUAAAUACAUUCUUAGAAAGUGUAAUAUGUGCUUUGUAGGAAAGCAAUGGGGGUAGUGUAAUUGAGAUUCAUGGGGGAGAGCUGUUUAGAUAGGAUGAUCAGAGAAGGGGUCUUUAAUGCCGCAAAGGAUGAGGAGAGAGCCAAAUAACGCAGAGAAGAGUGUUUGGGGUACAGAAAACAGUCAGUGCAAGGGCACUGCAGUAGGAGGGGCUUGCACAUUUGAGGAACAGGUUGGUGGUCCCUGUGGCCAGAGCAAAUUGAGAAGAGUGCCGAGGAAGAGAUGUGCUUGGAAAGGGUCAGAUUCAUGCCACUGGGAUGGGAAGAGGUAAGUGGAGGUUCACAGGAGGUUUCCUGAAGAAAUCAGCUCCUGGAGGAAGUGAGGGAAGAAAAAAAAGGGCCAGGGAGUGCCAUGGCAACCAAUUCUGAGAGGUGAGAGGUCAUGGGAUGCCGGGGAGGGUGAUCAGCAGACAGGCCUGGCUGGAGUGGAAGGGCGUGAUCUGGAGGUCCCAGCCCUGUCAUUGCCUUGGGAGAAAGAAAACGGCCACAGGUCUAAGGGCUCCAAGGCAAGGCUGAUGGGAUAGAGCUAUGGUGGGUGAAAUGGGGUGACAGUGAGGCAGGGGACACAAGCCGUUCCAUUGUCUUUCUGUCUCUCCACAGCGCCGCCCCUGGCUGGGGGCACCCCUGCAGGUGGGACUGGUGGGCUUCUGCCUGGUAUUUGCAACCCCCCUGUGCUGUGCCCUAUUCCCCCAGAAGAGCUCCAUACACAUAAGCAACCUGGAACCAGAGCUGAGAGCUCAGAUCCAUGAGCAAAACCCCAGCGUUGAAGUGGUCUACUACAACAAGGGGCUUUGAGGAGGGUCAGCCUCUGUCCCCUCCCUCACUUCCUUGGGCUGCUGCUUUAGUGGAGUCAUGUCACCCCUACCACUUGGCUAUCUGCCUAGCACUGGGCAGGGGCCUUGGUGGGCAGAUGGCAAUUGAGGGUAGCAACCUAUUAGGGUGGGGGAGGGACCUCCAUAAGGCUUUUCCUCCCUUCUCUGGUUUCAAAGAUCAGAGCACAUAACCCCUCCUGUGCUUGAGUGUCCAUGCAUAUACAUACAUGAUACACAUGUGUAUGUGUACAUUGGGUCCUGAAAGCUAGAAGCAGGCAUGCUAGCCUAGUAUGUUCUGACAUCUGGCUUCCCUUCUCAGCCUCAUGUCCACCUGCCUGCCAGCCAGGCUACAGGUGUGACUUCCUUCUCUAAACUGUUACACCAGCCAAGUUAUUUUUGAUGGCACCUCAUCCCUUCUAGAAAUAGGAGGAGCCCCAGGAUCUCAGGACAGAGACUUAUAGACACUAGUAGGACAAAGCGGGCUGAAUCCUUCAGGUUUCUGAUACCUAGCUCCCCAAGCUGACUGGGCUGGCAGAGGAGAACAUGUUGAGACAAGGGAGGCAGGGGACUUAUGCAUCCCUCAGUGCCAUCCCUUGUAUCCUGGAAUAGCUCCAUUUCCCCUCCUCCUCUCUACCAGACAAAGGAGUGCCUGUGUCCUGUACUGCCCUCGCUGUCUCCCCCACCACCCUACUUGACAGCGUGGGCAUCUUCAGGCACAGCCUUGGGAGUUCCUGGUGUGCUCUGACAUCAUGACCUCAAAUCUAAAUCCUCCAAUCCCAACUCCCUUUCCCAAACAAAAAGCCACAGAGGCAGAGCAAGCAUUCCCCUUUAAGAGCUUCCACUGCACCCCCUCCCAAGGGACACAGCGGUAGGAAUGGUGCUUAAACUCCACAGGUAUCAGAGAGGGUGUAACUAGGACAUCCUCAAGGGCAGCUAGGCCCCGAAUGUACAAUGUUAAGACAGGGAAUUUUGUGUUCCAUUGACUUUUUUUUUUUUUUUUAAUGGAGUUUCACUAUUUUGCCCAGGCUGGAGUGCGAUGGUGCGAUCUUGGCUCACUGCAACCUCUGCCUCCUGGGUUCAAGUGAUUCUCUUGCCUCAGUCUCCCGAGUAGUGGAAAUUACAGGUGUGUGCUACCACAUCUUGCUAGUUUUGUAUUUUUAGCAGAGAUGGGGGUUUCACCAUGUUGGCCAGGCUAGUCUCGAACUCCUGACCUCAGGUGAUCCACCUGCCUUGGCCUCCCAAAGCACUGGGAUUACAAGCAUGAGCCACUGUGCCCAGCCUGUUCCACUGACAUUUCUUAGACAUUCAGCAAAACCCCCACCUUAACCUCUUUUCUUUCUUGAGGGUUGGUCCUGUCCCCACCUCCACCCUCCCACCCCCUGGAAGAGGAAGGGCCCGGGCAUCAGUGGCUAGUCCAAAUAAAAUAUGGGCUUGGGGAUGGAAUGGGUGGUGGUAAGUUCACAGAGUGUAGUUAGAUCCCAACUCCCAUGACCUCUGGCUUCAGUGGUGGGUGGGGCAGGGCAGAUGAAAGGGCUUCAGUGGGAACCUCUGAGAGCAUUUUCCUGUUCCCCCUAUCAACCGCCCCCAGUGAUAACAUCUGUGAAGCCAGCCAUUACUCAAUAAACUGCAAACUUGUCU
Molecule: long non-coding RNA, 3244 nt
Filed under: Homo sapiens (human)
Lineage: Eukaryota; Metazoa; Chordata; Mammalia; Primates; Hominidae
Description: HSALNT0167165
Source: RNAcentral